UACGGAGGGGGCUAGCGUUGUUCGGAAUUACUGGGCGUAAAGCGCACGUAGGCGGCUUUGCAAGUUAGAGGUGAAAGCCCGGGGCUCAACUCCGGAAUUGCCUUUAAAACUGCAUCGCUAGAAUUGUGGAGAGGUAAGUGGAAUUCCGAGUGUAGAGGUGAAAUUCGUAGAUAUUCGGAAGAACACCAGUGGCGAAGGCGGCUCACUGGUCCGGUACUGACGCUGAGGUGCGAAAGCGUGGGGAGCAAACAGG
This 253-nucleotide ribosomal RNA is filed under the name uncultured bacterium. RNAcentral describes it as "partial 16S ribosomal RNA". It matches the Rfam family "Bacterial small subunit ribosomal RNA", at positions 524 to 776 of the family's 1533-position model. The record is from RNAcentral.